Molecule: microRNA precursor, 101 nt
Organism: Equus caballus (horse)
Lineage: Eukaryota; Metazoa; Chordata; Mammalia; Perissodactyla; Equidae
Source: Ensembl
UGACUAAAGCAGGCAUAUGCCAGUUGACUGACACUUGAGCGCUUGGGAUCUUGUGGCUGUGCUCAGGGGUAGAGUCAACUUGCAUGUGCAUUCCAGAGGAA